Molecule: ribosomal RNA, 407 nt
Filed under: uncultured bacterium
Lineage: Bacteria
Description: partial 16S ribosomal RNA
Rfam family: Bacterial small subunit ribosomal RNA
Source: RNAcentral
AUUGAACGCUGGCGGCAUGCCUAACACAUGCAAGUCGAGCGGAGCGGCGGACGGGCGAGUACUGCCUAGGGAUCUGCCUGGUGGUAGGGGAUAACGUCCGGAAACGGGCGCUAAUACCGCAUCCUAGCAGCUGAGCCUCGGUCCGAUUAGCUAGUUGGUGGGGUAAAGGACUACAAAGGCGACGAUCCGUAACUGGUCUGAGAGGAUGAUCAGUCACACUGGAACUGAGACACGGACCAGACUCCUACGGGAGGCAGCAGGUGGGAAUAUUGGGCAAUGGGCGAAAGUCUGACCGAGCCAUGCCGCGUGAGUGAAGAAGGUUUGCGGAUUGUAAAGCACUGUUAGUUGGGAAGCGGUACCAAAAGAGAAAGCAACGGCUAACUACGUGCCAGCAGCCGCGGUAAUAC